Molecule: ribosomal RNA, 187 nt
Filed under: uncultured Pseudomonadota bacterium
Lineage: Bacteria; Pseudomonadati; Pseudomonadota
Description: uncultured proteobacterium partial 16S ribosomal RNA
Rfam family: Bacterial small subunit ribosomal RNA
Source: RNAcentral
ACUCCUACGGGAGGCAGCAGUGGGGAAUAUUGCACAAUGGGCGAAAGCCUGAUGCAGCCAUGCCGCGUGUAUGAAGAAGGCCUUCGGGUUGUAAAGUACUUUCAGUCGUGAGGAAGGGUGUGUAGUUAAUAGCUGCACANCUUGACGUUAGCGACAGAAGAAGCACCGGCUAACUCCGUGCCAGCAG